Molecule: ribosomal RNA, 177 nt
Filed under: Escherichia coli
Lineage: Bacteria; Pseudomonadati; Pseudomonadota; Gammaproteobacteria; Enterobacterales; Enterobacteriaceae
Description: partial 16S ribosomal RNA
Rfam family: Bacterial small subunit ribosomal RNA
Source: RNAcentral
AAAUUGAAGAGUUUGAUCAUGGCUCAGAUUGAACGCUGGCGGCAGGCCUAACACAUGCAAGUCGAACGGUAACAGAAAGCAGCUUGCUGCUUUGCUGACGAGUGGCGGACGGGUGAGUAAUGUCUGGGAAACUGCCUGAUGGAGGGGGAUAACUACUGGAAACGGUAGCUAAUACCG